Molecule: ribosomal RNA, 463 nt
Filed under: uncultured bacterium
Lineage: Bacteria
Description: partial 16S ribosomal RNA
Rfam family: Bacterial small subunit ribosomal RNA
Source: RNAcentral
GAUGAACGCUGACAGAAUGCUUAACACAUGCAAGUCGAUGGGGAAGUGGGGUUUGCACCAGGUUACCCAUGGGGGACGGGGGGGUAAGGCGAAAGAAACUGGCCUCCGGGACUGGGUUAACACAAGGAAACGGUGGAUAUAACAGGAUAAGGUAUUUAGUCUGCAUAGCUUGGUGAUGAAAGGAGACGCCUGCGGAGAGCCUUGCGUCCUAUUAGCAAGUUGGAGGGGUAACGGCCCACCAAGGCGAAGUUAGGUAGCCGGCCUGAGAGGGUGGACGGCCACAAGGGGACUGAGAUACGGCCCUUACUCCUACGGGAGGCAGCAGUGGGGAAUAUUGGACAAUGGGGGCAACCCUGAUCCAGCAAUUCUGUGUGCACGAAGACGGUUUUCGGAUUGUAAAGUGCUUUCAGCAGGGAAGAAGGAAGUGACGGUACCUGCAGAAGAAGCGACGGCUAAAUACGUG